This 304-nucleotide ribosomal RNA is filed under the name uncultured bacterium. RNAcentral's name for it is "partial 16S ribosomal RNA". It matches the Rfam family "Bacterial small subunit ribosomal RNA", at positions 506 to 809 of the family's 1533-position model. The record is from RNAcentral.
CAGCAGCAGCCGCGGUAAUACAGAGGGUGCGAGCGUUAAUCGGAUUUACUGGGCGUAAAGCGUGCGUAGGCGGCUUCUUAAGUCGGAUGUGAAAUCCCUGAGCUUAACUUAGGAAUUGCAUUCGAUACUGGGAAGCUAGAGUAUGGGAGAGGAUGGUAGAAUUCCAGGUGUAGCGGUGAAAUGCGUAGAGAUCUGGAGGAAUACCGAUGGCGAAGGCAGCCAUCUGGCCUAAUACUGACGCUGAGGUACGAAAGCAUGGGGAGCAAACAGGAUUAGAUACCCCGGUAGUCCCUGUCUCUUAUAU